RNAcentral lists this transfer RNA (72 nucleotides) under Camelus bactrianus (Bactrian camel). It matches the Rfam family "tRNA". From Rfam's summary of the family: Transfer RNA (tRNA) molecules are approximately 80 nucleotides in length. Lineage: Eukaryota; Metazoa; Chordata; Mammalia; Artiodactyla; Camelidae. The record is from Rfam by way of RNAcentral. RNAcentral also lists the same sequence under 2 other names.
GAGAGUAUAGCUCAGUGGUAGAGCACAUGCUUAGCAUGCAUGAGGUCCUGGGUUCAAUCCCCAGUACUACCA